GGUCUAAGCAUUUGUCCCGGGAAACCAAGACGGCCAGAGGGUCUUGGUGAAGCGGGCAGGGAGGAUUACACAAAAGGGAGCCUUGCCAUUCCAGGGUCUGAAAGAAACUGAAGGAGGAAAUUCCCUUUCAACAGACCUUUUUAAGGCCACCGAGGUUCUCUUUUCCACGCCUCCCUGAAGGCUCGCCUGGACUGUCCAGCAUGGCCCUGCAAGAU
Bubalus bubalis (water buffalo) is the source of this 215-nucleotide long non-coding RNA. RefSeq lists it as uncharacterized. NCBI's taxonomy places the organism in Eukaryota, Metazoa, Chordata, Mammalia, Artiodactyla, Bovidae. The record is from RefSeq and is a predicted model, not a curated record. The transcript has 2 exons.